ACAAUCAUAGUAUAAUGGUAAAAUGAUCGUCUUUAAACAAUGGUUGUGGGUUCGAAUCCGACUGGUUGUA
Non-coding RNA from Xylariaceae sp. FL1272, 70 nucleotides. The record is from the annotation of a GenBank genome assembly. NCBI's taxonomy places the organism in Eukaryota, Fungi, Ascomycota, Sordariomycetes, Xylariales, Xylariaceae.